Molecule: unclassified non-coding RNA, 307 nt
Filed under: Sordariomycetes sp.
Lineage: Eukaryota; Fungi; Ascomycota; Sordariomycetes
Description: partial contains 5.8S ribosomal RNA, internal transcribed spacer 2, and large subunit ribosomal RNA
Rfam family: 5.8S ribosomal RNA (bases 1-71)
Source: RNAcentral
GUGAGUCAUCGAAUCUUUGAACGCAUAUUGCGCCCCCCAGUACUCUGGAGGGCAUGCCUGUUCGAGCGUCAUUUCACCCCUCAGGCCCUAGCCGCCUGGCGUUGGGGCGCUGCGGCCCUGCCCGCAGGCCCUCAAAUCUAGCGGCGGACCCGCCCGGCCCUGAGCGUAGUAAUUAAAAGCCUCGCUCCGGCGGCCGCGGCGCGGCCCUGCCCCGCCCACUCAGACGGCGCUGCGAAAGCGCCGUCCUCGUUGACCUCGGAUCAGGUAGGACUACCCGCUGAACUUAAGCAUAUCAAUAAGCGGAGGA